Molecule: transfer RNA, 81 nt
Filed under: Alistipes sp.
Lineage: Bacteria; Pseudomonadati; Bacteroidota; Bacteroidia; Bacteroidales; Rikenellaceae
Description: tRNA-Ser
Rfam family: tRNA
About the family: Transfer RNA (tRNA) molecules are approximately 80 nucleotides in length.
Source: RNAcentral
GGAGGGAUGGCAGAGCGGUCGAUUGCGGCGGUCUUGAAAACCGUUGNNGCUCCGGGGGUUCGAAUCCCUCUUCCUCCGCUA